Small nuclear RNA from Mesocricetus auratus (golden hamster), 162 nucleotides. RefSeq annotates it as U1 spliceosomal RNA. NCBI's taxonomy places the organism in Eukaryota, Metazoa, Chordata, Mammalia, Rodentia, Cricetidae. The record is from RefSeq and is a predicted model, not a curated record. The transcript has a single exon.
AUACAGGCCUGAGAGGGGAGGUCUAGCUAGCAAGAAGGAGAGUUUCCUAGGGUGGCUUAUUCAUUGCACUUGGGAUAUGCUGGCCCUUGUGAUUUCCCCACGUUCAGGAAACUUGACUGCAUCAUUUGUGGUAGUUGGGGACUGUGUUCCUGUUUUCUCCUG